CGAGACUCCUCGGGAGGCAGCAGUGGGGAAUAUUGCACAAUGGGCGCAAGCCUGAUGCAGCCAUGCCGCGUGUAUGAAGAAGGCCUUCGGGUUGUAAAGUACUUUCAGCAGUGAGGAAGUGGGUAUGUUAAUAGCAUACUCAUUUGACGUUAGCUGCAGAAGAAGCACCGGCUAACUCCGUGCCAGCAGCCGCGGUAAUACGGAGGGUGCGAGCGUUAAUCGGAAUUACUGGGCGUAAAGCGCAUGCAGGUGGUUUGUUAAGUCAGAUGUGAAAGCCCGGGGCUCAACCUCGGAAUUGCAUUUGAAACUGGCAAACUAGAGUACUGUAGAGGGGGUAGAAUUUCAGGUGUAGCGGUGAAAUGCGUAGAGAUCUGAAGGAAUACCGGUGGCGAAGGCGGCCCCCUGGACAGAUACUGACACUCAGAUGCGAAAGCGUGGGGAGCAAACAGGAUUAGAUACCCUGGUAG
RNAcentral lists this ribosomal RNA (467 nucleotides) under uncultured bacterium. Its description in RNAcentral is "bacterial SSU rRNA". It matches the Rfam family "Bacterial small subunit ribosomal RNA", at positions 331 to 793 of the family's 1533-position model. The record is from RNAcentral.